This 374-nucleotide transfer-messenger RNA is filed under the name Trueperella bonasi. It matches the Rfam family "transfer-messenger RNA". From Rfam's summary of the family: Bacterial tmRNA, also known as 10Sa RNA or SsrA, is named for its dual tRNA and mRNA-like properties. Its role is to liberate the mRNA from a stalled ribosome. To accomplish this part of the tmRNA is used as a reading frame that ends in a translation stop signal. Lineage: Bacteria; Bacillati; Actinomycetota; Actinomycetes; Actinomycetales; Actinomycetaceae. The record is from RNAcentral.
GGGGAUGAUCGGUUUCGACGGCGGUGACUGCCGAAGGGAAGCGGGUAGAGGAGGCAGAGUCAUCUCUUUAACGACUCUCUGCAAACUAUAACUGCCAACAAGCAGAAGUCUGACUUCGCCCUCGCUGCUUAAGCGCGAGCGCCUUUAAAGUCCGUCAGCCUCGCGUUGCUUUCGCGUGAGAUGUCUGGCGUCAUCUAGGAAGCCACUGAAUCGCAGCAAUGUUGCCGGGCUGUGAUCGACACUAGGUAACUAUGUUCGUCAGCAACUUGUCUGUGUGAGUGCUGGAGCUGAAAAUAACGUUUAACAGACUGCACCCGGAGAAGUCUUGGGUUUUGCAUCGUCGGACGGGAGUUCAAUUCUCCCCAUCUCCACUG